This 253-nucleotide ribosomal RNA is filed under the name uncultured bacterium. RNAcentral's name for it is "partial 16S ribosomal RNA". It matches the Rfam family "Bacterial small subunit ribosomal RNA", at positions 524 to 776 of the family's 1533-position model. The record is from RNAcentral.
UACGGGGGGAGCAAGCGUUGUUCGGAAUCACUGGGCGUAAAGGGCGCGUAGGCGGUCAGGUAAGUGAGAUGUGAAAUGCCCCGGCUCACCCGGGGACCGGCAUCUCAUACUGCUUGGCUUGAGUACGGGAGGGGAGAAUGGAAUUCCCGGUGUAGCGGUGAAAUGCGUAGAUAUCGGGAGGAACGCCGGUGGCGAAAGCGAUUCUCUGGCCCGUUCCUGACACUGAGGCGCGAAAGCUAGGGGAGCAAACAGG